UCCUACGGGAGGCAGCAGUGGGGAAUAUUGGACAAUGGGGGGAACCCUGAUCCAGCCAUGCCGCGUGUGUGAAGAAGGCCUUAUGGUUGUAAAGCACUUUAAGCGAGGAGGAGGCUCUUUUGGUUAAUACCCAGAAUGAGUGGACGUUACUCGCAGAAUAAGCACCGGCUAACUCUGUGCCAGCAGCCGCGGUAAUACAGAGGGUGCAAGCGUUAAUCGGAUUUACUGGGCGUAAAGCGCGCGUAGGCGGCCAAUUAAGUCAAAUGUGAAAUCCCCGAGCUUAACUUGGGAAUUGCAUUCGAUACUGGUUGGCUAGAGUGUGGGAGAGGAUGGUAGAAUUCCAGGUGUAGCGGUGAAAUGCGUAGAGAUCUGGAGGAAUACCGAUGGCGAAGGCAGCCAUCUGGCCUAACACUGACGCUGAGGUGCGAAAGCAUGGGGAGCAAACAGGAUUAGAUACCCUGGUAGUCCAUGCCGUAAACGAUGUCUACUAGCCGUUGGGGCCUUUGAGGCUUUAGUGGCGCAGCUAACGCGAUAAGUAGACCGCCUGGGGAGUACGGUCGCAAGACUAAAACUCAAAUGAAUUGACGGGGGCCCGCACAAGCGGUGGAGCAUGUGGUUUAAUUCGAUGCAACGCGAAGAACCUUACCUGGCCUUGACAUAGUAGAAACUUUCCAGAGAUGGAUUGGUGCCUUCGGGAAUCUACAUACAGGUGCUGCAUGGCUGUCGUCAGCUCGUGUCGUGAGAUGUUGGGUUAAGUCCCGCAACGAGCGCAACCCUUUUCCUUACUUGCCAGCAUUUCGGAUGGGAACUUUAAGGAUACUGCCAGUGACAAACUG
Molecule: ribosomal RNA, 836 nt
Filed under: Acinetobacter sp. LBC2
Lineage: Bacteria; Pseudomonadati; Pseudomonadota; Gammaproteobacteria; Moraxellales; Moraxellaceae
Description: bacterial SSU rRNA
Rfam family: Bacterial small subunit ribosomal RNA
Source: RNAcentral